This 1733-nucleotide long non-coding RNA is filed under the name Phaseolus vulgaris (common bean). Its description in RNAcentral is "long non-coding RNA (PVUL_LNC001835)". Lineage: Eukaryota; Viridiplantae; Streptophyta; Magnoliopsida; Fabales; Fabaceae. The record is from RNAcentral.
UUUCUUAAAUGAUUAAUAUGUUAGUUUAAGAUAACAAUGAAAGAAUGAUGUGUUGUAGUAAUAUUGUUGUAUUAAUUGGGAUUACAUCGUAUGAGUAUAAAUUGAGUAAUAUGUUGAUAGAUUUAGAUAAGAAAUAUUUGAUACAUAGGAUGAUAUUUUAGGCAAGUUGUAUUUUUUUUAUUAGCAAGAAACAACUAAAAUAAAUUGGUCCACUUAAGAAGUGUCCAACCCUCAUAUAGAGUAAGAAUGAACAAAAGUAUAUUUUCAACUACACAAUUAAAAUCAUAAAGAGUUUAUCUCCUACUGCCUUCCCCAACACUACCAACUAAAGAAGAAUCAUUAAAUUGAAUACAUACAUAAUGAUUCUAAACAUCACUCAGAGAACGAAAAAUUCACUAAGGGUAUCUUUGAAACGAUUCAAGACCAAACAUUAACCUGUAAUAGGAAAAAACUUCAUAAAACAAGUUGUAUUUUAUGAUACUAAAUUUUAGAUUCUAUUAAUAAUUUUUAGUCAAAUAAUAACUAAUUAAUUUUUGUUCGUAUGUAUUAAGAUAUUAAGCGAUAAUAAAUUUUUGCAAUUUGUAGAGGUGAAAUGUGAAUAUGAAAGAGUUUAUGAAUGUAUUAAAAAAUUUAGAAUAUUUAAUUAAAUAAUGUGUGUAUGCAUAAUUAUGAGUUAUGAUUCAUUGAAUUACUUUUAAAUUUGUUUUAUGAUUAACCAUUUUUAUAAUCCUUCUUAAUUAACAUCUCCAUGUUUAUUAUGUGUAUGUAUAUCUACAGUAAAAAACAAGUUACAAUAAUUAGUAAUAUGAUAUUUCAGACUUCUAACGAACCACUAAUAAAUUAGUCUUCUAGAUGCAACUAAAUAUUUUCUUAAACAAACCAUAUUAUAAAUACAAGUUGUGUCUGAAUAAAAAAAAAAUAACAAGAGUAGAGUUUUAUCUGUGUUGUUAACGUAAAGAAAUACAAAACAAAACCUGCACAUACCUGGUCGUUACAUAUUCCAACAACAAGGGUAAAAACCUGCAAAUCGAUCCACACAAAGCAUCCUUACUUUCAAUUUGUCACAUGAACACAUCUUAGAAUGAUUCCAAACAAAAUUAAAACUCUUGCAAGAUCAAAACUCUGCACUGAUCCACUGUUUGAGAGAAAGGUAUCCAAAGUUAUGAAGACUCAGAAAAUAUAUUUGUUUUUUUCCUAACUGAUCACUCAGAUCUCAAGGAGAAUGUAGUAGAAUGGUAGAUGAAGAGUUGAAUCCCAAGAGUUAAACAAUAUUCUCAGAUCUUCAUCUUGAAGGAAGGAAAAAAAAAAAAAAAAUUGGUUGGUUGGUUGCAUCUGCUGCAUGCAUUCCAUGGAAGAAGAGACCAAUGGACAAGGAAAGAGACAGGCGUUUGAGUUGCCCAAGUUUUCUAGCAAGUGCAUGUGUAUUAUUAUACCAGGAGUGGUAUAAAAAUUAUUAUAAUAGAAUAUUAUAAUAAUAAAAAAUAAAAAGAAAAUUGAUGAAUGUUGGAAAGAGGAGGAGCAUAAGGGAGAGAAGAUAAAGAACACGCGCCGGGUGGAUGUAUGCAUGGGGUGAGUGAGUGAAUGAGGAGUGGGACCCGCAGGGAAUGAAAAGGAGAAAGAGAAGCGCGUGAGUAGAUGAAAAACACGACAAGAAGAAGAACAGGAAGAGGAACAUAGAACAAGAAGUACCCAGAUUGAGAUUUGGAUUGAAUUGUGAGUAGUGUGACCUUUGC